CCUACGGGAGACAGCAGUGGGGAAUAUUGCGCAAUGGGCGAAAGCCUGACGCAGCGACGCCGCGUGAGGGAUGAAGGUCUUCGGAUCGUAAACCUCUGUCAGCAGGGAAGAACGGUCACUGUGCUAAUCAGCAGUGAAUUGACGGUACCUGCAAAGGAAGCACCGGCUAACUCCGUGCCAGCAGCCGCGGUAAUACGGGGGGUGCGCGCGUUAAUCGGAAUUACUGGGCGUAAAGCGCUCGUAGGCGGUAUGUCAAGUCAAGGGGGAAAUCCCCGGGCUCAACGUGGGAACUGCCUUUGAAACUGGCAGACUGGAGUGUGUGAGAGGAAAGUGGAAUUCCAGGUGUAGGAGUGAAAUGCGUAGAUAUAUGGAGGAACAUCAGUGGCGAAGGCGACUAUCUGGCACAUAACUGACGCUGAGGAGCGAAAGCGUGGGUAGCAAACAGGAUUAGAUACCCUUGUAGUC
This 465-nucleotide ribosomal RNA is filed under the name uncultured bacterium. RNAcentral's name for it is "partial 16S ribosomal RNA". It matches the Rfam family "Bacterial small subunit ribosomal RNA", at positions 338 to 795 of the family's 1533-position model. The record is from RNAcentral.